RNAcentral lists this ribosomal RNA (499 nucleotides) under uncultured bacterium. RNAcentral describes it as "bacterial SSU rRNA". It matches the Rfam family "Bacterial small subunit ribosomal RNA", at positions 28 to 523 of the family's 1533-position model. The record is from RNAcentral.
GACGAACGCUGGCGGCGUGCUUAAUACAUGCAGGUCAACUGAACUUAGGAUAGCAAUAUUUUAAGGGAGGUGGCGCACGGGUGAGUAACACGUAGGUAAUCUGCCUUUAGGUCUGACAUAACCUACCGAAAGGUAGGCUAAAAUCAGAUGAUGCAGCGGCUCGACAUCGAGACAGUUGUUAAAUCUUCGGAGCCUAAAGAUGAGCCUGCGUCUGAUUAGCUAGUUGGUGAGGUAAUGGCUCACCAAGGCGACGAUCAGUAGCUGGUCUGAGAGGACGAACAGCCACACUGGAACUGAGACACGGUCCAGACUCCUACGGGAGGCAGCAGUGAGGAAUAUUGGUCAAUGGGAGCAAUCCUGAACCAGCAAUGCCGCGUGUGGGAUGACAGGGCUUCGCCUUGUAAACCACUGUCGGACGGGACGAAAGGAGGCCUCGGGGCCUCUGGGACGGUACCGUCAAAGGAAGGGUCGGCUAACUACGUGCCAGCAGCCGCGGUAA